Molecule: ribosomal RNA, 1392 nt
Filed under: Nocardiopsis sp.
Lineage: Bacteria; Bacillati; Actinomycetota; Actinomycetes; Streptosporangiales; Nocardiopsidaceae
Description: bacterial SSU rRNA
Rfam family: Bacterial small subunit ribosomal RNA
Source: RNAcentral
UCGAGCGGUAAGGCCCUUCGGGGUACACGAGCGGCGAACGGGUGAGUAACACGUGAGCAACCUGCCCCUGACUCUGGGAUAAGCGGUGGAAACGCCGUCUAAUACCGGAUACGACCCGCCACCUCAUGGUGGAGGGUGGAAAGUUUUUCGGUCAGGGAUGGGCUCGCGGCCUAUCAGCUUGUUGGUGGGGUAACGGCCUACCAAGGCGAUUACGGGUAGCCGGCCUGAGAGGGCGACCGGCCACACUGGGACUGAGACACGGCCCAGACUCCUGCGGGAGGCAGCAGUGGGGAAUAUUGCGCAAUGGGCGAAAGCCUGACGCAGCGACGCCGCGUGGGGGAUGACGGCCUUCGGGUUGUAAACCUCUUUUACCACCAACGCAGGCUCCCAGUUCUCUGGGGGUUGACGGUAGGUGGGGAAUAAGGACCGGCUAACUACGUGCCAGCAGCCGCGGUAAUACGUAGGGUCCGAGCGUUGUCCGGAAUUAUUGGGCGUAAAGAGCUCGUAGGCGGCGUGUCACGUCUGCUGUGAAAGACCGGGGCUUAACUCCGGUUCUGCAGUGGAUACGGGCAUGCUAGAGGUAGGUAGGGGAGACUGGAAUUCCUGGUGUAGCGGUGAAAUGCGCAGAUAUCAGGAGGAACACCGGUGGCGAAGGCGGGUCUCUGGGCCUUACCUGACGCUGAGGAGCGAAAGCAUGGGGAGCGAACAGGAUUAGAUACCCUGGUAGUCCAUGCCGUAAACGUUGGGCGCUAGGUGUGGGGACUUUCCACGGUUUCCGCGCCGUAGCUAACGCAUUAAGCGCCCCGCCUGGGGAGUACGGCCGCAAGGCUAAAACUCAAAGGAAUUGACGGGGGGCCCGCACAAGCGGCGGAGCAUGUUGCUUAAUUCGACGCAACGCGAAGAACCUUACCAAGGUUUGACAUCACCCGUGGACUCGCAGAGAUGUGAGGUCAUUUAGUUGGCGGGUGACAGGUGGUGCAUGGCUGUCGUCAGCUCGUGUCGUGAGAUGUUGGGUUAAGUCCCGCAACGAGCGCAACCCUUGUUCCAUGUUGCCAGCACGUAAUGGUGGGGACUCAUGGGAGACUGCCGGGGUCAACUCGGAGGAAGGUGGGGAUGACGUCAAGUCAUCAUGCCCCUUAUGUCUUGGGCUGCAAACAUGCUACAAUGGCCGGUACAAUGGGCGUGCGAUACCGUAAGGUGGAGCGAAUCCCUAAAAGCCGGUCUCAGUUCGGAUUGGGGUCUGCAACUCGACCCCAUGAAGGUGGAGUCGCUAGUAAUCGCGGAUCAGCAACGCCGCGGUGAAUACGUUCCCGGGCCUUGUACACACCGCCCGUCACGUCAUGAAAGUCGGCAACACCCGAAACUUGCGGCCUAACCCCUUGUGGGAGGGAG